UUGAACGCUGGCGGCAUGCCUUACACAUGCAAGUCGCACGGUAACGGGCCUUCGGGUGCCGCCGAGUGGCGAACGGGUGAGUAAUACAUCGGAACGUGCCCGAUCGUGGGGGAUAACGAGGCGAAAGCUUUGCUAAUACCGCAUACGAUCUACGGAUGAAAGCAGGGGACCGCAAGGCCUUGCGCGGACGGAGCGGCCGAUGGCAGAUUAGGUAGUUGGUGGGAUAAAAGCUUACCAAGCCGACGAUCUGUAGCUGGUCUGAGAGGAUGAUCAGCCACACUGGGACUGAGACACGGCCCAGACUCCUACGGGAGGCAGCAGUGGGGAAUUUUGGACAAUGGGCGCAAGCCUGAUCCAGCCAUGCCGCGUGCAGGAUGAAGGCCUUCGGGUUGUAAACUGCUUUUGUACGGAACGAAAAGCCUUCUUUUAAUACAGGAGGGUCAUGACGGUACCGUAAGAAUAAGCACCGGCUAACUACGUG
Molecule: ribosomal RNA, 481 nt
Filed under: uncultured bacterium
Lineage: Bacteria
Description: partial 16S ribosomal RNA
Rfam family: Bacterial small subunit ribosomal RNA
Source: RNAcentral